Molecule: ribosomal RNA, 494 nt
Filed under: uncultured bacterium
Lineage: Bacteria
Description: bacterial SSU rRNA
Rfam family: Bacterial small subunit ribosomal RNA
Source: RNAcentral
CCGUUCGGGAACUUAGAUACAGGUGCUGCAUGGCUGUCGUCAGCUCGUGUCGUGAGAUGUUGGGUUAAGUCCCGCAACGAGCGCAACCCUUUUCCUUAUUUGCCAGCGGGUCAUGCCGGGAACUUUAAGGAUACUGCCAGUGACAAACUGGAGGAAGGCGGGGACGACGUCAAGUCAUCAUGGCCCUUACGGCCAGGGCUACACACGUGCUACAAUGGUCGGUACAAAGGGUUGCUACCUCGCGAGAGGAUGCUAAUCUCAAAAAGCCGAUCGUAGUCCGGAUCGCAGUCUGCAACUCGACUGCGUGAAGUCGGAAUCGCUAGUAAUCGCGGAUCAGAAUGCCGCGGUGAAUACGUUCCCGGGCCUUGUACACACCGCCCGUCACACCAUGGGAGUUUGUUGCACCAGAAGUAGGUAGUCUAACCGCAAGGAGGACGCUUACCACGGUGUGGCCGAUGACUGGGGUGAAGUCGUAACAAGGUAGGCGUAGAUGA